Molecule: long non-coding RNA, 211 nt
Filed under: Mytilus galloprovincialis (Mediterranean mussel)
Lineage: Eukaryota; Metazoa; Mollusca; Bivalvia; Mytilida; Mytilidae
Source: RNAcentral
AGGUGUCAGACCACCAAUUAAAAAUCCCUAUCUGUUCAACCAAAUUUUGCAAUUUUCACAGCUUUCUAAAUAUUUUACCUUAUGUUUAACUUCAUAGAAACCAGGUAUAUCCUUAAUUGUACAUGUAUCAGCUUUCUACAUGCCAAUUUUCACUAUACCUUUAAAGCCUUCUAACAAAAUAACUGACCUUCAAACAGAGGUACUCCAAAAA